This 501-nucleotide ribosomal RNA is filed under the name uncultured bacterium. RNAcentral's name for it is "partial 16S ribosomal RNA". It matches the Rfam family "Bacterial small subunit ribosomal RNA", at positions 30 to 523 of the family's 1533-position model. The record is from RNAcentral.
AUUGAACGCUGGCGGCAUGCCUUACACAUGCAAGUCGAACGGCAGCACGGGUGCUUGCACCUGGUGGCGAGUGGCGAACGGGUGAGUAAUAUAUCGGAACGUACCUUAUUGUGGGGGAUAACGCAGCGAAAGCUGUGCUAAUACCGCAUAAUCCCUUAGGGGGAAAGCGGGGGACCGUAAGGCCUCGCGCAAUUAGAGCGGCCGAUACCUGAUUAGCUAGUUGGUGAGGUAAAGGCUCACCAAGGCGACGAUCAGUAGCUGGUCUGAGAGGACGAUCAGCCACACUGAGACUGAGACACGGCCCAGACUACUACGGGAGGCAGCAGUGGGGAAUUUUGGACAAUGGGGGCAACCCUGAUCCAGCAAUGCCGCGUGAGUGAAGAAGGCCUUCGGGUUGUAAAGCUCUUUUGUCAGGGAAGAAACAGCAGCUCUAACACAGUAUGCGAAUGACGGUACCUGAAGAAUAAGCACCGGCUAACUACGUGCCAGCCGCCGCAGUAA